RNAcentral lists this ribosomal RNA (604 nucleotides) under uncultured marine bacterium. Its description in RNAcentral is "bacterial SSU rRNA". It matches the Rfam family "Bacterial small subunit ribosomal RNA", at positions 334 to 957 of the family's 1533-position model. The record is from RNAcentral.
GACUCUUACGGGAGGCAGCAGUGGGGAAUUUAGACAAUGGGCGCAAGCCUGAUCUAGCCAUGCCGCGUGAGUGAUGAAGGCCUUAGGGUCGUAAAGCUCUUUCGCCUGUGAUGAUAAUGACAGUAGCAGGUAAAGAAACCCCGGCUAACUCCGUGCCAGCAGCCGCGGUAAUACGGAGGGGGUUAGCGUUGUUCGGAAUUACUGGGCGUAAAGCGCACGUAGGCGGAUUGGAAAGUUGGGGGUGAAAUCCCGGGGCUCAACCCCGGAACUGCCUCCAAAACUAUCAGUCUAGAGUUCGAGAGAGGUGAGUGGAAUUCCAAGUGUAGAGGUGAAAUUCGUAGAUAUUUGGAGGAACACCAGUUGCGAAGGCGGCUCACUGGCUCGAUACUGACGCUGAGGUGCGAAAGUGUGGGGAGCAAACAGGAUUAGAUACCCUGGUAGUCCACACCGUAAACGAUGAAUGCCAGUCGUCGGGCAGUAUACUGUUCGGUGACACACCUAACGGAUUAAGCAUUCCGCCUGGGGAGUACGGUCGCAAGAUUAAAACUCAAAGGAAUUGACGGGGGCCCGCACAAGCGGUGGAGCAUGUGGUUUAAUUCGACGC